RNAcentral lists this long non-coding RNA (1567 nucleotides) under Homo sapiens (human). RNAcentral's name for it is "HSALNT0024601". Lineage: Eukaryota; Metazoa; Chordata; Mammalia; Primates; Hominidae. The record is from RNAcentral.
UCCUGCCUUUCACCUCCUUCUGACUCAUCUCUGAAUUGUUUCUUGUGAUUGUGUCAAGAAUCUGGAAACUAGCUGGGCUGGGGUCUCACUGGCAUGCAGAGACUCUCCUGGGAUCACACUGGCAUCCACAGAGCCUCUUGAGCCCUCCAGCAACAAGUUGAUCUGGAUAUUGCCACGGUUUCUACGGGACUGAACAAAGGGGGACCCACACAGGAAUGAAAACUUAAAACAAAACAGCCACUAAGGAAGGCGCAGAGGGACUUCCUUUCGGCCCGAAACAGUAUCUGUGCUGCCAAAGUUGUUUUCCUUGUGACUCAAAUGAGGAAGAAUAAACUUGGUUUAGGACUAUUCAAUGCCAGUGUUUUCAGAUGGCUCCACCAGCAGAGAACAGAGAAGGGGAGAAGAGGAAAAGCAGCUGGACGUCGGGGACUGCGGUUUGACGUCGGAGAGAAGCAGCUUGACUUCAGAGGGACAGCUUGACCGCUUUGCUUUGGAGAGGAGUCUGGCUGGGGAUGGCUGGACUCCAGGGGAAGAUCGUCUUCCUGUUCCAUCCCUUUUCCAGCUCCCCUCCCACUGAGAGCCACUUUCAUUGGCAAUAAAAUCCUCCAUAUUCACCACCCUUCAAUUCGUUCAUGCGACCUGAUUUUUCCUGGAUGCCAAACAAGAGCCCAGGUGCCACAGGUGUGGAUACUAAAGGCUGUCACACUGACCCUUUGCCCUUGCUGGCAGAGAGCAACCACUUCAUGCAAAAAGGCAGAGGGCCCACUGAGGUAUUUAACACUUAAGCUGUCCGUGGACAGCCAAGCUAAAAGAACACUGUAACACACUCCCUCUGGGGCUUCUGGGGUCCCUGGUAUUCCUGACGAGACACUGUCAUGGGGCCUGCAGGGAGUUUUGCUCCUGCCAACACCCAAAAGCACUCUUUCUGGCUCCUGCACCCGCUCACCUGCGUGCUUCCCCUUCCCUCAAGGGCUUGAGAGCUGCAGGCUGAGUAAGUAGGCACCCUUGUCACGAGGUCCAAAAAGGGAUCAAGGAAAAUUUCCUGUUUCAGUGCUUUGGCAAAAACUUGAGUCAAUGAUACAGAAAAGUUAUGAGAGUUGAAAUCCUUGUCUAGUUCCCACUCAUAAUUCACUGAUUUUUAUUUCUGUAGUUUAUAAUCUGAGGUUAAUUCUAUCCAAUAAUAUUUUCAUUGUAGUAAUUGGGUAAUUUUUAUAUUUAGAUAUUGCUUUUGGUUUCUUUUUUGUAACGUCCAGUUCUCCAUUUUUUUGGUACAUAUAAAUAAAUAUAAUAACUCUUUUAAUGUUAUUAUUUGAUAAUUUAAUCAUCUCUGUCAAUUCUAUGUUUCUAUUGACUAUUUCCCCCCCAAUCGUAAGUCUAAUUUUCUUGUUUGUAUGUGCAGUAGUUAAAAAAUUCAAAUUAAAAAUAUUGCAAAUUUCUGGCCAGGUGUGGUGGCUCAUGCUUGUAACCCCAGCAUUUUGGGAGGUGGAGGCAGGCAAAUCACUUGAGGUCUGGAGUUCUCCAGCCUGGCCAACAAGGUGAAACCUGUCUCUACUAAAAAUACAAUUAG